This 262-nucleotide ribosomal RNA is filed under the name uncultured bacterium. Its description in RNAcentral is "partial 16S ribosomal RNA". It matches the Rfam family "Bacterial small subunit ribosomal RNA", at positions 793 to 1055 of the family's 1533-position model. The record is from RNAcentral.
GUCCUAGCCGUAAACGGUGCAUAUUUGCUGUAAAGGAAUCGACCCCUUUGUGGCGAAGCUAACGCGAUAAAUAUGCCGCCUGGGAAGUACGGUCGCAAGAUUAAACUCAAAGAAUUGACGGGGCCUGCACAAGCGGUGGAGUAUGUGGCUUAAUUCGAUGCAACGCGAAGAACCUUACCUGGCCUUGACAUGUAUCUAGUAGAAGGGUGAAAGCCUGACGAGAUAGCAAUAUCAGGAUACACAGGUGCUGCAUGGCUGUCGU